Molecule: long non-coding RNA, 199 nt
Filed under: Linum usitatissimum (flax)
Lineage: Eukaryota; Viridiplantae; Streptophyta; Magnoliopsida; Malpighiales; Linaceae
Description: long non-coding RNA (LUSI_LNC007667)
Source: RNAcentral
GUACUAACAUUCUUCAAAUAGCAAUUUGAUUACUUUAAAUAGCAAUUAAUUUCCUUUUUUUUUUAAUUUUAUUCUGUGAGCUUUUUUCUUUCAACUUUAAAAAACCAAGUAUUUUAUAAUUAGCAAUAUGAUUAAUACUUCAAGUAGCCUUUAAAAGUACUUUCUAGUGUAUGCGCGUGAAGUAGAGCUACUGAUUUUU